RNAcentral lists this ribosomal RNA (351 nucleotides) under uncultured bacterium. RNAcentral's name for it is "bacterial SSU rRNA". It matches the Rfam family "Bacterial small subunit ribosomal RNA", at positions 917 to 1267 of the family's 1533-position model. The record is from RNAcentral.
GGGCCCGCACAAGCGGUGGAGUAUGUGGUUUAAUUCGAUGCAACGCGAAGAACCUUACCAGGGUUUGACAUCCUGCGAAUCUCUUGGAAACGAGAGAGUGCCUUCGGGAACGCAGUGACAGGUGGUGCAUGGCUGUCGUCAGCUCGUGUUGUGAAAUGUUGGGUUAAGUCCCGCAACGAGCGCAACCCUUAUCCUUGUUUGCCAGCGAGUAAUGUCGGGAACUCCAGGGAGACUGCCGGUGAUAAACCGGAGGAAGGUGGGGACGACGUCAAGUCAUCAUGGCCCUUACGAGUAGGGCUACACACGUGCUACAAUGGCGCAUACAGAGGGCAGCAAGCUAGCGAUAGUAAG